Molecule: ribosomal RNA, 369 nt
Filed under: uncultured bacterium
Lineage: Bacteria
Description: bacterial SSU rRNA
Rfam family: Bacterial small subunit ribosomal RNA
Source: RNAcentral
AACGCUAGCUACAGGCUUAACACAUGCAAGUUGCGGGGCAGCAGGUCUUCGGAUGCUGGCGACCGGCGCACGGGUGCGUAACGCGUAUGCAACCUACCCUUUACAGGGGGAUAGCCCGAGGAAACUCGGAUUAAUACCCCAUAGUUUAAGAUAUCAGCAUUGAUAACUUAAUAAAGCUCCGGCGGUAAAGGAUGGGCAUGCGUGACAUUAGCUAGUUGGUAAGGUAACGGCUUACCAAGGCUACGAUGUCUAGGGGUCCUGAGAGGGUUACCCCCCACACUGGUACUGAGACACGGACCAGACUCCUACGGGAGGCAGCAGUGAGGAAUAUUGGUCAAUGGAGGCAACUCUGAACCAGCCAAGUAGCGU